GCUUCCACUCUAUCUAAUCCUUUUUGUCUUUGCUUACACCAGUGCACCGCUCCUAACCUCUUUAGUUUUUGCUAAGUGUUAUGUGAUGAGAGAGUUGAGGAAGAAAGAGAAUUAAAUGAGAUAUGCCUUUAUUACUGUUUUGUGAUGGAUAAGACCGAAAUACAAACAACGAUUUUAUUUUUUGCUAAAGCACGUGAAUUAACUGGAUGUAAGGAAUGUAAACUUUGUUUACCAAGAAAAUUGUCUUCCGCUGAUCUCUUUGACAAGAUUGUUCAUACGUUUGAAUUGCAAAGUAUACGUAAUAAUUUAAUACUAGCUGUGAACGAAGAAUUUGUUACUCCAAAUAGUACUCUUAUAUUAUCGGAAAAGGAUAAAAUUGCAGUGAUUCCACCACUUAGUGGAGGCCUUUGGCCCGUGCACUUGCUUAGCCAGCAGUUGCUGGCUAUGUGCAUUCCACCGGAAAUCAGAAGAUUUUGGGUGGCAAUCGGGUGGCAAUCGAAUACAUUGCCCGGUGCGACGUUCAGUGUGAAGGCCGGACGGUGUCCUCGCGCGAGGUGUCACUCGACACCCUUGUCACUCGCGCUAUUCUCGGAUAAUAUGGAGGUAUCAAAGAAUUUUGUCAAGUUGCAACAAGAAGAACUAAAUGUUUCAGAAAUUAUGAGAUUAGUGACAUUUCCCAACUGUGGAGCAAUAUCUAGUUUUAUUGGAAUUACUCGAGAUAAUUUUGAAGAUAAAAAGAUUGAUGAGAAAUUUGAUAGAUUGUAUAAGGUAGCUUCUAAUAACUUUUUAACAAGAUUUACUACAUAUUAUGUACCUAGAAUUCUUGCAUAUUGCGGCAGAAUAAGACAAGAUUUAUAUAGAAUCUUAAAUAUUAUUGAAAAGGAAAAUAUUUGUGCCAUACUACUUUUAGCGCAUUUACUCUCUGUAUGUAAUGCUGCAAGAAAAGGAAAAGGAAAAAGGAAAGAUGUAAGUUCAUCAAAAAAAGUAAAUGUGAGGGAGAAUUAUGCUGAUGUCUAUUCUACUAAGUUUUCGAAUUCUUCUGUAAUACAAAUUUGGUCUGUAAUCAAACUAGAAUAUGAAGCUUAUGAAUCAAUGGCUUUAAAAGAAAUGAGUAAUAUCUGUGACAAAAUCCGUUUACAAUGGAACGUAGAAGGCAUUGCUAUAUAUCAUCGUAUUGGAAAUGUACCGAUAUCCAAAGCAAGUGUUGUAAUUGCGGUUUCUUCUCCCCAUAGAGAGGAAUCAUUAAAGGCAGUAGAAUACGCUAUUAACACAUUAAAAGCAUCGGUUCCCAUUUGGAAGAAAGAAAUAUACGAAAUAGGAGAAUCACAAUGGAAACAAAACAAAGAAUGUAAAUGGACAAAUACUUUGAAGAAAGAAGAUGUUCAAACAGCUAUAAAUGAAAUUGUAUCAAAUAAAGAUGUUAUUGAUGCAAAUCUUAUACAAGUUCGAGCGAAUUCGGAAGAAUUAAAUCGUAGAAUAGAAUCAUUCAUCAAAAGAAAACGUCAGCAAGUAAAUACUAUGAAUGUACAAGAAUUUUGCCGCUACAGCGAAAAAAGUAAUGAUAACGAAAAUUCUUGUGCAAGAGUAGAUGCCAUCCUUAUUCGACGCAAGGAUUCCAAAAGCCAUGUAAAAGAAUUGUUGUCUCGACCAAUUAAGGGGGGAGGCACGAACUCCUGACGCUUCUUUGCGCUACCCCGAGCUGCUGCAACGGAAUACUGAAUGGCAUCAGCUCUGAUACCGAAACACGAAGAAGGUCCUUUGGAUGGUAUCUUCUUCUCACAAUCAGAUUCACAGAGUAUCAAAUAUGUGGGGACCUCAAACUAUCGAUCAAUCAAUUUUACGCAAGUCAGUUGCAUUGAAUACGAGUUUUAAUGCUUUAAGUUCUUCCGUUAUAUUGGAUGACAGAAUUUCU
This 1912-nucleotide unclassified non-coding RNA is filed under the name Monomorium pharaonis (pharaoh ant). Its description in RNAcentral is "molybdopterin synthase catalytic subunit, transcript variant X21". The record is from RNAcentral. Lineage: Eukaryota; Metazoa; Arthropoda; Insecta; Hymenoptera; Formicidae.